Chelonoidis abingdonii (Abingdon island giant tortoise) is the source of this 122-nucleotide non-coding RNA. Lineage: Eukaryota; Metazoa; Chordata; Testudines; Testudinidae. The record is from RefSeq and is a predicted model, not a curated record.
CGUAAUCCUGUAUGGGACUCCACAAUUGUUUGCCUCCAUGCAUUCAGCUGGGCCCUAUCAGUGCAGAAGGACUGGAUGAGCUCAGCAAACAUGUCUUCCCAAGUUGGUUUUUCCUGCCUUCU